UCCCUGGUGUUUCAGUGGUUAGGACUCUACACUUUCACUGCAGAAGACCAAGAUUCAAUCUCUGGUUGGGGAA
This 73-nucleotide transfer RNA is filed under the name Capra hircus (goat). It matches the Rfam family "tRNA". From Rfam's summary of the family: Transfer RNA (tRNA) molecules are approximately 80 nucleotides in length. The record is from Rfam by way of RNAcentral. RNAcentral also lists the same sequence under 1 other name. Lineage: Eukaryota; Metazoa; Chordata; Mammalia; Artiodactyla; Bovidae.